AACAACAUGGACCUCAUCAAGCAUGGUCAGCUCAGCUGUUUGACUUUUCUUCUUUGGAUGAAAGGUCUAACUGAUGCCAAGGAUGUCACACAAACUCCCAUGCUGUGGGAACAACAGGGUAAUAAUGCAACAAUGGACUGCAGCCAUACCAAGGGUGCUUUCUAUGUCCAGAUGUACUGGUACAGACAGCUGCCAGGAGAAAAUAUGGAACUGAUUGUGUUCACGACAACAGCCAAAAAAUACGAUCACGACUUUGGAAAAUUCAGCAAAGAGAAAUACUCAGCCACAAAGACUGAGGUUCAUGAUGGGACAUUUACAGUGAAGAACCUGGAGCCAAAAGACAGCGGCUGGUAUUUCUGUGCCGUCAGUAAGCACAGUGAUACAGACUCAUGUGAAAGCUGAAC
Haplochromis burtoni (Burton's mouthbrooder) is the source of this 404-nucleotide non-coding RNA. The record is from the annotation of a RefSeq genome assembly. NCBI's taxonomy places the organism in Eukaryota, Metazoa, Chordata, Actinopteri, Cichliformes, Cichlidae.